UUGGGUGUAGCUCCGUGGUAGAGCGCUUGCCUAGCAUGCAUGAGGCUCUGGGUUUGAUCCCCAGUACUGCAA
This 72-nucleotide transfer RNA is filed under the name Marmota marmota marmota (Alpine marmot). It matches the Rfam family "tRNA". From Rfam's summary of the family: Transfer RNA (tRNA) molecules are approximately 80 nucleotides in length. Their secondary structure includes four short double-helical elements and three loops (D, anti-codon, and T loops). The record is from Rfam by way of RNAcentral. RNAcentral also lists the same sequence under 1 other name. Lineage: Eukaryota; Metazoa; Chordata; Mammalia; Rodentia; Sciuridae.